UACGGAGGGGGCGAGCGUUAUUCGGAAUUAUUGGGCGUAAAGGGCGCGUAGGCGGCUGUACAAGUCAAAGGUGAAAGCCCCGGGCUCAACCUGGGAAUUGCGCUUGAUACUGCGGCGCUGGAAGGUGGGAGAGGAUGGCGGAAUUCCCAGUGUAGAGGUGAAAUUCGUAGAUAUUGGGAAGAACACCGGUGGCGAAGGCGGCCAUCUGGCCCAUUUUUGACGCUGAGGCGCGAAAGCGUGGGGAGCAAACAGG
This 253-nucleotide ribosomal RNA is filed under the name uncultured bacterium. RNAcentral's name for it is "partial 16S ribosomal RNA". It matches the Rfam family "Bacterial small subunit ribosomal RNA", at positions 524 to 776 of the family's 1533-position model. The record is from RNAcentral.